UUCGCAAUGCCCGAAAGGGUGACGAAGCGACGCCGCGUGUGGGAAGAAGGCCUUCGGGUUGUAAACCACUGUCGGGAGUUAAGAAAUGUAAGGGUGUUAAUAGCGCCUUUACUUGACAAAGGCUCCGGAGGAAGCCACGGCUAACUCUGUGCCAGCAGCCGCGGUAAUACAGAGGCGGCAAGCGUUGUUCGGAAUUAUUGGGCGUAAAGAGCACGUAGGCGGCUUUGCAAGUCAGUUGUGAAAGCCUUCCGCUUAACGGAAGAACAGCAGCUGAUACUACAGAGCUUGAGUACGGGAGGGGAGAGUGGAACAUCUGGUGGAGCGGUGAAAUGCGUAGAUAUCAGAAGGAACGCCGGCGGCGAAAGCGACUCUCUGGUCCGUAACUGACGCUGAGUGUGCGAAAGCUAGGGGAGCAAACGGGAUUAGAUACCCCGGUAGUCCUAGCCGUAAACGAUGGGCACUAAGUAGAGGGGUUUU
RNAcentral lists this ribosomal RNA (477 nucleotides) under uncultured Planctomycetota bacterium. RNAcentral describes it as "bacterial SSU rRNA". It matches the Rfam family "Bacterial small subunit ribosomal RNA", at positions 365 to 832 of the family's 1533-position model. Lineage: Bacteria; Pseudomonadati; Planctomycetota. The record is from RNAcentral.